This 385-nucleotide ribosomal RNA is filed under the name uncultured bacterium. Its description in RNAcentral is "bacterial SSU rRNA". It matches the Rfam family "Bacterial small subunit ribosomal RNA", at positions 28 to 414 of the family's 1533-position model. The record is from RNAcentral.
GACGAACGCUGGCGGCGUGCUUAACACAUGCAAGUCGAGCGGUAAGGCCCUUUCGGGGGUACACGAGCGGCGAACGGGUGAGUAACACGUGGGUGACCUGCCCUCAGCUCUGGGAUAAGCCUGGGAAACCGGGUCUAAUACUGGAUAUGACUCCAUGACGCAUGUUGUGGGGUGGAAAGCCUUGUGCGGCUGAGGAUGGGGCCCGCGGCCUAUCAGCUUGUUGGUGGGGUGAGGCCUACCAAGGCGACGACGGGUAGCCGGCCUGAGAGGGCGACCGGCCACACUGGGACUGAGACACGGCCCAGACUCCUACGGGAGGCAGCAGUGGGGAAUCUUGCGCAAUGGGCAAAAGCCUGACGCAGCGACGCCGCGUGAGGGAUGACGG